Molecule: long non-coding RNA, 645 nt
Organism: Helianthus annuus (common sunflower)
Lineage: Eukaryota; Viridiplantae; Streptophyta; Magnoliopsida; Asterales; Asteraceae
Exons: 2
Source: RefSeq, a predicted model, not a curated record
UCUCUCUCUACAGUAUGGUUUUCCACCUCUACCGCCAUUGCACCACCACAAAACUGCCAUAACCAUCAUCACCAUCAAAUGCAGGAAAUCACCGGAACUCUCUCUCCUUCUCUUCUCCAUCUCACUUUUUUCUCCAUAGCCACCACCACCUGAAACCCCCUCUAGCUGGCAACCACCACCUAAAACCGACGCUUUCCAGAUCUGUUCCGCCGCCACCUAAAACCGGAGCUCUCUCUUCUUCAUCACUCUUUCUUCCGCCGCCUCUUAAUGUGGCCAGAUAUGUGACACCUGUGAACUCGUUGGCCGACCGACCACCACCAAACCCAUUGCCUCCUUGUUCGUCCCUGAUAAACACGGUAUCAUUCCUUUCUACUUUCUCUCUGAUUUUCCCGCUUCAAGUUCCGUAAUUGUUGCUGAUUUAUGAUAUUUGAUCUUUUUUUGAGGAAAUUUGGGCGAUAUUGUUCUUGGAUUUGAUACUCUCAAACCCUAUAUGGUGCUGUUGUUAGAUGAUCAUGAUGCAAAACAUAAGAUUGGACGAGGGCCUUAGUAACAUAAACGAAGAAAGACAAUGGGUUUAAACUCGUUUAUUUCACUUUAACACUAUGUAAAACAAUUAUUAAUUCAAUAAAACAAAACUUCAAUUAC